GAUCCUGGCUCAGGACGAACGCUGGCGGCCCGCCUAACACAUGCAAGUCGAACGAGCGGGAGAGAGCUUGCUUUCUCGAGCGAGUGGCGAACGGGUGAGUAACGCGUGAGGAACCUGCCUCAAAGAGGGGGACAACAGUUGGAAACGACUGCUAAUACCGCAUAAGCCCACGGGUCGGCAUCGACCAGAGGGAAAAGGAGCAAUCCGCUUUGAGAUGGCCUCGCGUCCGAUUAGCUAGUUGGUG
RNAcentral lists this ribosomal RNA (244 nucleotides) under uncultured bacterium. RNAcentral's name for it is "partial 16S ribosomal RNA". It matches the Rfam family "Bacterial small subunit ribosomal RNA", at positions 15 to 254 of the family's 1533-position model. The record is from RNAcentral.